RNAcentral lists this ribosomal RNA (253 nucleotides) under uncultured bacterium. Its description in RNAcentral is "partial 16S ribosomal RNA". It matches the Rfam family "Bacterial small subunit ribosomal RNA", at positions 524 to 776 of the family's 1533-position model. The record is from RNAcentral.
UACGUAGGGUCCGAGCGUUGUCCGGAGUUACUGGGCGUAAAGCGCGCGCAGGCGGUGGCGUGUGCCCGGCGUGAAAGCCCCCGGCUCAACCGGGGAGGGUCGUCGGGGACUGCGCCACUUGAGGUCGGCAGGGGCCGGUGGAAUGCCCGGUGUAGUGGUGAAAUGCGUAGAGAUCGGGCGGAACACCCGUGGCGAAGGCGGCCGGCUGGGCCGUACCUGACGCUGAGGCGCGAAGGCGUGGGGAGCGAACGGG